RNAcentral lists this ribosomal RNA (253 nucleotides) under uncultured bacterium. RNAcentral's name for it is "partial 16S ribosomal RNA". It matches the Rfam family "Bacterial small subunit ribosomal RNA", at positions 524 to 776 of the family's 1533-position model. The record is from RNAcentral.
UACGGAGGGGGCUAGCGUUGUUCGGAAUUACUGGGCGUAAAGGGCGUGUAGGCGGGUUCAUAAGUCGGGGGUGAAAGCCCGGGGCUCAACUUAGGAACGGCCUUAGAUACUGUGGGACUUGAGUAAGGGAGAGGUGAGCGGAAUUCCGAGUGUAGAGGUGAAAUUCGUAGAUAUUUGGAGGAACAACAGAGGCGAAGGCGGCUCGCUGGACAGGAACUGACGCUGAGGCGCGAAAGCGUGGGGAGCAAACAGG